ACGGGGCGCAGCAGGCGCGAAACCUCCGCAAUGCGGGAAACCGCGACGGGGGGACCCCGAGUGCCGUGGCACCGCCACGGCUUUUCCGGAGUGUAAAAAGCUCCGGGAAUAAGGGCUGGGCAAGGCCGGUGGCAGCCGCCGCGGUAAUACCGGCGGCCCGAGUGGUGGCCGCUAUUAUUGGGCCUAAAGCGUCCGUAGCCGGGCCCGUAAGUCCCUGGCGAAAUCCCACGGCUCAACCGUGGGGCUUGCUGGGGAUACUGCGGGCCUUGGGACCGGGAGAGGCGGGGGGUACCCCUGGGGUAGGGGUGAAAUCCUAUAAUCCCAGGGGGACCGCCAGUGGCGAAGGCGCCCCGCUGGAACGGGUCCGACGGUGAGGGACGAAGGCCAGGGGAGCAAACCGGAUUAGAUACCCGGGUAGUCCUGGCUGUAAAGGAUGCGGGCUAGGUGUCGGGUGAGCUUCGAGCUCGCCCGGUGCCGUAGGGAAGCCGUUAAGCCCGCCGCCUGGGGAGUACGGCCGCAAGGCUGAAACUUAAAGGAAUUGGCGGGGGAGCAC
This 553-nucleotide ribosomal RNA is filed under the name uncultured archaeon. Its description in RNAcentral is "bacterial SSU rRNA". It matches the Rfam family "Archaeal small subunit ribosomal RNA", at positions 325 to 879 of the family's 1478-position model. The record is from RNAcentral.